This 434-nucleotide long non-coding RNA is filed under the name Struthio camelus australis. RNAcentral's name for it is "lncRNA (ENSSCUG00000002206.1)". Lineage: Eukaryota; Metazoa; Chordata; Aves; Struthioniformes; Struthionidae. The record is from RNAcentral.
GUAGAAGUUGCAAGAUUUCCUGAUUGAUAAAGCAUUCACUUGACAAAAUCAGAUUGUGAGAAAGCUUUGUGAGAAAAGAUGGUCCUGCUUCUCCCAACACUGCCUUGCUGUAGAGUUGACAUCUCUUUCAGCUUCUGAAACUGUGUUCAGCGGUACUUCCCAAGAGCUCACUUAGCCAAUGCAGAUAUGUUAUGGAACUGAUAGGGAACAGGAAGAUGACAAGCAGAAAACAAGAUGGAGAGGGGAACGGAGACCAAGGGAAGUGGAACAGCAUGCCAAGUUCCUGCAGUUUUCACCGUCUUCAUGCUUCCAAGAGGAUAGCUGCUGACAAGAGACAGGGUUCCUGUAGAACAGUCGUCCUUGUAUCUGGCCUUUGCCAGCUCAGAGAAGACAGCAAUUGCUACAGCAACAGAGUCCUCAGGCAAAGGAAUUAA